RNAcentral lists this ribosomal RNA (484 nucleotides) under uncultured bacterium. RNAcentral describes it as "partial 16S ribosomal RNA". It matches the Rfam family "Bacterial small subunit ribosomal RNA", at positions 30 to 507 of the family's 1533-position model. The record is from RNAcentral.
AUUGAACGCUGGCGGCAUGCUUUACACAUGCAAGUCGAACGGUAACAGGGAGCUUGCUCCGCUGACGAGUGGCGAACGGGUGAGUAAUAUAUCGGAACGUACCCAAGCGUGGGGGGUAACGUAGCGAAAGUUACGCUAAUACCGCAUACGAUCUAUGGAUGAAAGCAGGGGACCUUCGGGCCUUGUGCUCCUGGAGCGGCCGAUAUCUGAUUAGCUAGUUGGUGAGGUAAAGGCUCACCAAGGCGACGAUCAGUAGCUGGUCUGAGAGGACGACCAGCCACACUGGAACUGAGACACGGUCCAGACUCCUACGGGAGGCAGCAGUGGGGAAUUUUGGACAAUGGGCGCAAGCCUGAUCCAGCAAUGCCGCGUGAGUGAAGAAGGCCUUCGGGUUGUAAAGCUCUUUUGUCAGGGAAGAAACGGCUGUGGCUAAUAUCCACGGCUAAUGACGGUACCUGAAGAAUAAGCACCGGCUAACUACGUG